AGUAAGGUAAGCUAAAUAAGCUUUCGGGCCCAUACCCCGGCAAUGUAGGUUAAAAUCCUUCCGUUACUG
RNAcentral lists this transfer RNA (69 nucleotides) under Nibea albiflora (white flower croaker). RNAcentral describes it as "tRNA-Met". It matches the Rfam family "tRNA". From Rfam's summary of the family: Transfer RNA (tRNA) molecules are approximately 80 nucleotides in length. Lineage: Eukaryota; Metazoa; Chordata; Actinopteri; Sciaenidae. The record is from RNAcentral.